Cyprinus carpio carpio is the source of this 2389-nucleotide long non-coding RNA. The record is from Ensembl. NCBI's taxonomy places the organism in Eukaryota, Metazoa, Chordata, Actinopteri, Cypriniformes, Cyprinidae.
GGAUAAUGUUUAAUAUUCCUCAUUUCAUUUAAUUUCAUUUCAUUUCAUCACACUUAACAUUUAUGGUUCAUCAUCAAUCUGCAGUAAAACAAACCCAUGUCUUUGUGUUUGAUAUAAACCAUUCUUAUUCACAUGCUCGCAUUUAAUACACAUUCUGCAACCAAGACAUCCUUGAUGUUACACUUUGUGUUUACAACCUCAGAACUGUUUUCCAGGCACCAGGGGACCGUCUUCAGUCCCCACUCCCCCACUUUUUUGAUUUUUUUUGCAUUUCCUUUUAUGGUUGUCUUUAGGCAACAGGCUAGUGACAGAGCAGAGAGCAAAAGAACAGCUGAAGAACAGAGAUGUGGCCUCUGCACUCAGGGAAGAACAGGGGGAGAACAGCUUUUUCAAACAAGGAAUGAUGCUGUGUAUUUACCUCCACUGGGAGAGAAGCCAUCCGAACGCUAACUCCGGAUUAGCGGUGGGGCACUGUCAGCCCUGCUUCACCCAGCUGCACAUCAACACUUAUUUGGCACAGUCAGAGUGAAGACCAGAGGAGGCAUCUUCUCUCUCUCCCGCUCUCCCUCUCUCUCUCUCUCUCUCUCUCUCUCUCUCUCUCUCUCUCUCUCUCUCCACUGGCAUAAACAAAAUGACAAGCCUCUUUGCUAAGCAAGAGUAAAGUAUCUCAGAGGUGUGCUCUAAAGUGAGGGCUGUGUCAGCCAGGAGGAUUCUAGUGGUCACACAGCACCAAUUUAUGCUCUUAAGUGGCUCACGAUGAGAAAGAAAUCCUUUAAUGCCAGGAAUAAAACAUGGUAUUUUUAUAUUUGCAGUAGGAAGCGUUUAAAUCCACUAAACUAAAAGCAAAGUUUACUGAACCUAAACCAUGUAUAAUCCAUGAAAGAAGAAUUUAUAUCAUUAAAGGAGGUGUGAGCGCUCAGAAGUUCUUGGUAAAUGUCUCAAUUAAAUGGUUGAAAGUGAGGUUUGUCUUUGUAACAAAGUCUUGUGUCUGUUGUACCAAUGGCAGAACAGCUUGUGGUAAUGAAUCUUGCAAGUAUGUCAAGCCCACCAAAUGUAUCUUUCUCUGGCCCUCAUUUGGAAACCAGAGAGGUCUAUUACUCUGUGGAGGAAAUCAUGCAUAUAAAAAAUAUCUGAUAUCCUGCCCUUUGCUUUCAAAGAUUAUUUGAUUGCAAGCAAAGGUCUAUUGAGUGUUUUCCUAAUCAGUGUUUUUGUGUCAGACUAAGAAAGUAUUUAUGAACCGCUGGACUGGAGUGCUCUCUAACAUUUAGCCAGAGGAAAGUGUCUUGAUAUGAUUCGAAAGUGCGAGUAUCCUUACCAAGGGAAUACAGUCUAUCACAACCAUUUCGUAUCUUUGUAAAUGAAUUAAGACAACUCAUAGAGGGUUAAUUAGAGGCACUCUUGUCUAUUUGUGAAGUGCAAUAUUAAUGCUCUUCACAACCAGACAGCUUUUUACUGUCAAUUUACAUCAUGAACUUCCUCCCCACGGAAUCCCUGAUAAAUCCAUUAAGGAAAUCCAAGAAGAAAGUCAUACUGUAUGAUUGCGUUCACCAUACAGAUUACAGAUGUAACUACAUAUAGGUAUUUUUUUUAAAAUAUAAGUACAAUGCAAAAACAUGUAUGUACACAGUAGGUGCGUUGUAUUAAAUUAUUAAUUUAAAUCUAAGUACAUAGUAGUUACAUAGGGACCUUAUUUGUUUCCUUUUAUGGAGUGUUUUUUUUUUUUGCACUGUAAAAUAUUACAUAAUUUACAUUUAAUGAUUUAACUGAUACUUUAAAAAGGAGCACACAAUAAUAAAUGUUUUUUUUUUUUUACUGAUGUGAAUAAACAUUAACUUUCUAUAAAAUUUCUUUCAGUGAAAAACAAAUGCAACUUAUUGAACUUUUUGUCAGUAGGCCUAACGUUUUUUUUUGUUUGUUUGUUUGUUUUUUGGUAAACUUUGUGUUGCAACUAUAUACACAAACUAUUUUAAUCGUAAAAAGUCCUGUACAAUAUCUCAAAAUAAAUAAGAGAUACUGUUUUUCAGAAGUAAUAUGAAAGGAAUGAAAAUCCUGUCAUUUACUCACCCUCAUGUCCCUCCAAACUCAUAUGAUUUUUCAUCCAUGAAACAAAAGUAUGAGGGAUGAGAGAAUGAUGAUUGUAACUGUCAAGCUCCAAAAAGCACAUAAAGUACCAUAACUGUAGUCCAUUUGAUUCGUGAGCUAUAUUUCAAGUCAUUUGAUUGAUUUGGUAAAAAAAAAAAAAAAACGGACAAAAAUUAAAGCUGUUAUUCAAUCAAAAUCUUGCCAUUCCUUAUGAAUCUGAUGCAUGUUUGUUUGUUUGUUUAUUUUAGCACAGCGCAGUAAGCUUGCGCCCGACACCAUUAGAGGAAAAGAUUUGCGAAAAUUAAUC